Molecule: ribosomal RNA, 590 nt
Filed under: uncultured bacterium
Lineage: Bacteria
Description: bacterial SSU rRNA
Rfam family: Bacterial small subunit ribosomal RNA
Source: RNAcentral
GAGCGGCCGACGUCUGAUUAGCUUGUUGGUGAGGUAAAGGCUCACCAAGGCGACGAUCAGUAGCGGGUCUGAGAGGAUGAUCCGCCACACUGGGACUGAGACACGGCCCCGACUCCUACGGGAGGCAGCAGUGGGGAAUUUUGGACAAUGGGGGCAACCCUGAUCCAGCCAUGCCGCGUGAGUGAAGAAGGCCUUCGGGUUGUAAAGCUCUUUCAGCUGGAGCGAAACGGUACGCUCUAACAUAGCGUGCUAAUGACGGUACCAGCAGAAGAAGCACCGGCUAACUACGUGCCAGCAGCCGCGGUAAUACGUAGGGCGCGAGCGUUAAUCGGAAUUACUGGGCGUAAAGCGUGCGCAGGCGGAUUGUUAAGCAAGACGUGAAAUCCCCGGGCUUAACCUGGGAAUGGCGUUUUGAACUGGCAGUCUAGAGUGCGUCAGAGGGGGGUGGAAUUCCACGUGUAGCAGUGAAAUGCGUAGAGAUGUGGAGGAACACCGAUGGCGAAGGCAGCCCCCUGGGAUGACACUGACGCUCAUGUACGAAAGCGUGGGUAGCAAACAGGAUUAGAUACCCUGGUAGUCCACGCCCUAAA